UCUGCUUAAUUGCGUUUCAAAAUUUAAACCUGAGCGACAAGGUGCUGCUAUCGAAACUGUCUUUGAGUGUGAACUAUAAGUCUUUUGACUUAUGACCAUCACUCUAGACGUUUAUGUUUUGGUGUUGGCCCUUGAUGCUCAUUUGAACGCAACGGACGUGAUUGCAACCCCUUGUUGAGAUUUAUCCGAUCUCUACGUUCACUGAACCACACUCUUUAGCGAGAGCAGUGGGGAUGUGGAUAAACUCGGGGGACUGCUGACUAUAAACUUUUCUCAAACCAGAGGAAGGUUGCGGCAAUAACAGGUCUGUGAUGCCCUCAGAUGUUCCGGGCUGCACACGUGCUACAUUUAGUAGCGCAGUGUGCACAUUAAUAGAGUGAUAGGUUCCGUGGUUUGUACAUUUUAAGGGCUCGUCCUAGUAACCAAAGCUCCACGGGACAUAUCAACCUUCCCCUUACAGGGCGGGUAACCUCUUCGAAGUGCUGGCAUGAUUUCCCUAGUUUUGGCAUUUGAAUCCUUGUCGCAGCAGCCCUGAGACGUAGUGAACGCUGCAAAGUGAUUCCAGUCUUAGGUUUGCGACACAUGCAAUUCCUGGUUGACUCAUCGUGGGGACUGAUUCUUGUAAUUAUUUUUCACGGUUCAACCAGGAAUGCCUUGUACCGGCGGCUCAUUAAACCGCUGGGAAUACGUCCCUGCCCUUUGUACACACCGCCCGUCGCUCUUACCGAUGACUUUGACUGUGAGUAGGACUGACCGUUUAUCGGGAAAUCCGUCGAACAGUUAGAGU
Molecule: ribosomal RNA, 787 nt
Filed under: Globigerinoides elongatus
Lineage: Eukaryota; Foraminifera; Rotaliida; Globigerinidae
Description: SSU rRNA
Rfam family: Eukaryotic small subunit ribosomal RNA
Source: RNAcentral